This 403-nucleotide ribosomal RNA is filed under the name uncultured bacterium. RNAcentral's name for it is "bacterial SSU rRNA". It matches the Rfam family "Bacterial small subunit ribosomal RNA", at positions 356 to 776 of the family's 1533-position model. The record is from RNAcentral.
GGGGAAUAUUGCACAAUGGGGGAAACCCUGAUGCAGCGACGCCGCGUGAGCGAAGAAGUAUUUCGGUAUGUAAAGCUCUAGCAGCAGGGAAGCAAAUGACGGUACUGGACUAAGAAGCCCCGGCUAACUACGUGCCAGCAGCCGCGGUAAUACGUAGGGGGCAAGCGUUAUCCGGAUUUACUGGGUGUAAAGGGAGCGUAGACGGUUCUGCAAGUCUGAUGUGAAAGGCGGGGGCUCAACUCCUGGACUGCAUUGGAAACUGUAGGACUUGAGUGCCGGAGAGGUAAGCGGAAUUCCUGGUGUAGCGGUGAAAUGCGUAGAUAUCAGGAGGAACACCAGUGGCGAAGGCGGCUUACUGGACGGUAACUGACGUUGAGGCUCGAAGGCGUGGGGAGCAAACAGG